AGGAACGGGUGGUAAUGCUGGAUGCUCCAACUUGACGCAUGUCUUGUUGGAAAGUGUCUAGUGGCAUGGGAUGGGGUCGCGUCCUAUCAGCUUGUAGGCGGGGUAAUGGCCCACCUAGGCUUCGACGGGUAGCCGGCCUGAGAGGGCGGACGGCCACAUUGGGACUGAGAUACGGCCCAGACUCCUACGGGAGGCAGCAGGG
This 202-nucleotide ribosomal RNA is filed under the name uncultured Gardnerella sp. RNAcentral describes it as "partial 16S ribosomal RNA". It matches the Rfam family "Bacterial small subunit ribosomal RNA", at positions 152 to 354 of the family's 1533-position model. The record is from RNAcentral. Lineage: Bacteria; Bacillati; Actinomycetota; Actinomycetes; Bifidobacteriales; Bifidobacteriaceae.